RNAcentral lists this ribosomal RNA (454 nucleotides) under uncultured bacterium. RNAcentral's name for it is "bacterial LSU rRNA". It matches the Rfam family "Bacterial large subunit ribosomal RNA", at positions 728 to 1180 of the family's 2925-position model. The record is from RNAcentral.
ACCUAUCCAUGGUCAGGGUGAAGCUCUCUUAACCGUGAGUGGAGGCCCGAACCGAUGUUUGUUGCAAAAGACUCGGAUGAACUGUGGAUAGCGGUGAAAUGCCAAUCGAACUUCGUAAUAGCUGGUUCUCCCCGAAAUAGCUCUAGGGCUAGCGUCGGGAUUUAAACACUGGGGGUAGAGCACUGACAGAGCUAGGGGCCCUGACCGGUUACUGAACUCCAUCAAACUCCGAAUACCAGUGUGAAUAUCCCGGCAGUCAGACUACGUGGGAUAAGCUGCGUGGUCAAAAGGGAAACAGCCCAGAUCGUCUGCUAAGGUCCCUAAAUUUCAGCUAAGUGGUAAAGGAAGUCAGAAUUCUUAGACAGCCAGGAGGUUGGCUUAGAAGCAGCCACCCUUAAAAGAGUGCGUAAUAGCUCACUGGUCGAUGUUUUCUGGCGCCGAAAAUGUAGCGGGG